Caretta caretta (loggerhead turtle) is the source of this 3525-nucleotide long non-coding RNA. RefSeq lists it as uncharacterized. The record is from RefSeq and is a predicted model, not a curated record. Lineage: Eukaryota; Metazoa; Chordata; Testudines; Cheloniidae.
CGGGUGCGGGGCUGGGGGAGACACGAUGAGGCGCAUCCAGCACUGGAGCCCCCAUACGGGCCAUAGGCUGGGAGUGUGGCUGGGGGCCUCCCUCAGGUCCUGGGCUGCUGAGAUGGGCACACGGCACUCAGCAGCCUGUGACCUGAACCGGGGCAUUGUGUCUCCAGGCAAAUACCAGGCUCAGGGGAUAGGGCUGGGGCUUGCCUGCACGUCCCACCCCACCCUGGGCUGAUUCUGGUCUGUGGACUCUCAUGUGUCCAGGGGAACAAAAGUCCAACUGAGCCUGCUGUGUGAUUAGUGCCAGGAGACAGGGGCAUGGAUUAGUGCGAAACAUUCUCCUCAGCCCACCCCAGCAGCGUGGGAGAGCGCAAUGGGAAGCGGGAUCGCACAUUAACAGCAGCGACGCCCCCAGCCCAGCUCACUGCGUCUCUUCUCCCCGAAAGGGCGGUGACGCUGUCCGGGAUCCAUGGGGCUGGGCUAUGGCCCGUAACCAACCAGCCCCUUGGGGAUGACCCCUGGAGUGUGCCAGACCAUGCCAUGGGACAGGCCUGCUCCCUCCAGGACUCCCAGACUGGGCCUUCGGGUGUUCUCCCUCCGUGUGCAGCCCAACGAGAUAUCUGCAGAUAUCCUGAGCCCCUCCAUGGCGUAAGCCUGACUCACAGGAAGGCCUGCCUGCAAACAGAGCGAUCCACAGUCGAUUGUCCUGGCUGAUGGGAGCCAUCAAGGUUCCAAACCACCACUCCCAGCCCUUCUGCACAAUCCCCAACCUGGCCUGUUGGUCACCAGUAUCACAGCAGAUUCCCGCUUCCCUCACGGGGUAACGAGGGCAACAUUCUGGGCACAUUUCAAAAACCAGCAUCCAGUUCUCAUCCUGAAACCAGAUUUAACCCUUCGUUAUUCUUCACCCGUCCAACCAGCGCCUACCGAGGGGCUCAGGAACGUCUGCUGAAGCCACUGCCCUCACCUGCUGUCGUCCUCGGCUAUAACCCGACAAUUAGUGGGUUAAUUAGCACCAGCGCCAGUUCUCACCCGCGGGGCAGGCCCCUGCCUACAGCUGCUUCUUCGGGGAGCGGGUUGGUUUGUUUCUUUGGAUCCACAAAGGGACUUAGGUGCUGUGAUGUUCUGUAUCACCCCCGUGCCCCAACUUUUGGUCAUUGAGAACAUUAGCAGACCAACGAUGGGAUCCAGGCAGCCUGCACUGGGGGGGCCCGGGUCCCGGCACAACGGAUGGGGUGAGACAGACACUCGCGGAUGGGACCCCAAAAGCCAGCACACCAGGUAGGGAACUGCCUAUGCCAGCCAAUGGACAAUGCUGAGCCAAGGGGAUGUGUGCGAAGCCCUGCCCCACGCAUGGAGUUAGACACCUAAGAAGGCACCCAGCUCUGCUUGUGGCCCAUGAGCGGGAACCCCUCUCUGGAGCCAGGUAGCUGAGAUGGGGGUGUCUUGUGUGAAUGAGUGGGGCGCCUGCCUCGUUCCACACAAAAGGGGCUGAGACAGAGGCCCCCCUUCUUUACCCCAGAGCACUCAGCUGGGCUGUGGGAGACCCCAGUUCAACUCCCCUCCCCCACCUGCAGGGCAGCCCGUAUCCGAGCAGAGGUCUCCCACGCCUCAAGACAAAGCCCUGUCUGCUGGGUGAGGGCAUAUUCAGGGGCCUCCUUCACUCCUGCCCAUUGAAGCUGCUCCAUUUUGGAUUACGAAGGAAUGAGUCUGUGGGCCAUACCAGCCCAUUCCUACACACCACCCCACUGUCAUGGGGAAGGCGCCUGUACAUACAGCUCAGAGCACUUCCGUGGGUCAGACCUGUCUUACAGGGAUCAGGCACAAACCAACACGGGUGGGGAGCGCGGCUCUUCGAAGCUUGGGCUCAUUAAAACAGAUCUUUGAUUGACGAUGGCCAAUGAGAGACUGACAUUGCUUGCUAAUUUAUUGUUUGAACAUGCCAUUGGCCAGUCUUUGGCUCUCUCUGAUGCUGUGAUUCACUUCACAAGGGCAAAGGCGAGAAGAGACCUUGUGAACUGAAGGAUGAGAGUUAACAUUCUAACACUGUCACCGACUGGAACAUUGUGUAAUACAGGUCCACCCAGUGUUGGUGCACAGUUCAAUUCAUAAUGUUAGCACAUUUCAGUUGUUCUUAAAAUUAAAGGUUUCAGAGUAACAGCCGUGUUAGUCUGUAUUCGCAAAAAGAAAAGGAGUACUUGUGGCACCUUAGAGACUAGCCAAUUCAUUUGAGCAUAAGCUUUCGUGAGCUACAGCUCACUUCAUUGAAUGCAUACUGUGGAAAGUGUAGAAGAUCUUUUUAUACACACAAAGCAUGAAAAAAUACCUCCUCCCACCCCACUCUCCUGCUGGUAAUAGCUUGUCUAAAGUGAUCACUCUCCUUACAAUGUGUAUGAUAAUCAAGUUGGGCCAUUUCCAGGACAAAUCCAGGUUUUCUCCCCCCCCCCCCCCCCAACACACACAAACCCACUCUCCUGCUGGUAAUAGCUUAUCUAAAGUGACCACUCUCCUUACAAUGUGUAUGAUAAUCAAGGUGGGCCAUUUCCAGCACAAAUCCAGGGUUUAACAAGAACGUCUGGGGGAGGGGGGGUAGGAAAAAAACAAGGGGAAAUAGGUUACCUUGCAUAAUGACUUAGCCACUCCCAGUCUCUAUUCAAGCCUAAGUUAAUUGUAUCCAAUUUGCAAAUGAAUUCCAAUUCAACAGUUUUUCGCUGGAGUCUGGAUUUGAAGUUUUUUUGUUGUAAUAUCGCAACUUUCAUGUCUGUAAUUGCGUGACCAGAGAGAUUGAAAUGUUCUCCGCCUGGUUUAUGAAUGUUAUAAUUCUUGACAUCUGAUUUGUGUCCAUUUAUUCUUUUACGUAGAGACUGUCCAGUUUGACCAAUGUACAUGGCAGGGGGCAUUGCUGGCACAUGAUGGCAUAUAUCACAUUGGUGAAUGUGCAGGUGAACGAGCCUCUGAUAGUGUGGCUGAUGUGAUUAGGCCCUGUGAUGGUGUCCCCUGAAUAGAUAUGUGGGCACAGUUGGCAACGGGCUUUGUUGCAAGGAUAGGUUCCUGGGUUAGUGGUUCUGUUGUGUGGUAUGUGGUUGCUGGUGAGUAUUUGCUUCAGGUUGGGGGGCUGUCUGUAGGCAAGGACUAGAACACUUCAAUGCUUUUACUUCAAUGCAGCUUUUAAACUGAGGGCUAGGGGAAAGCCAACAGGUGCGAAGGAGCACGUGGUUCAGACAGAGACCUCCCUUCGGGGAGGAUCUAUUAAUGGAGAUUCUCUGUCCUCAUAAGGAGGAGAGGAGGGAAGAUGACAAAGUACAGGUAGCAGUGGUGGAUUUAGAGUUGGUGGGGCCCUGUGCUCAGCUUCAUUUUUGGGGCCCCCCCUUGGGACCCAGCCAAGAAAAAGCACAUUCUUUCUGAUCUUCCCCCAUCCCUGUUCUUCCUUCUUUUUUUCUUCAUCCUCCUCCUAUAUUGUAAGUAAUAGGAAGUAAAUGAAAAUACCGUGAGGUACCUUGAUUGUUUUUGUAGUCUAACUUUUUUUUU